Molecule: ribosomal RNA, 481 nt
Filed under: uncultured bacterium
Lineage: Bacteria
Description: partial 16S ribosomal RNA
Rfam family: Bacterial small subunit ribosomal RNA
Source: RNAcentral
GAUGAACGCUGGCGGCGUGCUUAACACAUGCAAGUCGAACGAAGCACUUUAUUUGAUUUCCUUCGGGACUGAUUAUUUUGUGACUGAGUGGCGGACGGGUGAGUAACGCGUGGGUAACCUGCCUUGUACAGGGGGAUAACAGUUGGGAACGGCUGCUAAUACCGCAUAAGCGCACAGCAUCGCAUGAUGCAGUGUGAAAAACUCCGGUGGUAUAAGAUGGACCCGCGUUGGAUUAGCUAGUUGGUGAGGUAACGGCCCACCAAGGCGACGAUCCAUAGCCGACCUGAGAGGGUGACCGGCCACAUUGGGACUGAGACACGGCCCAAACUCCUACGGGAGGCAGCAGUGGGGAAUAUUGCACAAUGGGCGAAAGCCUGAUGCAGCGACGCCGCGUGAGCGAAGGAGUAUUUCGGUAUGUAAAGCUCUAUCAGCAGGGAAGAUAAUGACGGUACCUGACUAAGAAGCACCGGCUAAAUACGUG